This 253-nucleotide ribosomal RNA is filed under the name uncultured bacterium. Its description in RNAcentral is "partial 16S ribosomal RNA". It matches the Rfam family "Bacterial small subunit ribosomal RNA", at positions 524 to 776 of the family's 1533-position model. The record is from RNAcentral.
UACGUAGGAGGCGAGCGUUGUCCGGAAUUACUGGGCGUAAAGGGCGCGUAGGCGGUUUCGUAAGUCCUGUGUGAAAUCCCCCGGCUCAACUGGGGAACUGCACAGGAAACUGCGAGGCUUGAGUUCGGGAGAGGGAAGCGGAAUUCCGGGUGUAGCGGUGAAAUGCGUAGAUAUCCGGAGGAACACCGGUGGCGAAGGCGGCUUCCUGGACCGACACUGACGCUGAGGCGCGAAAGCCAGGGGAGCAAACGGG